Molecule: ribosomal RNA, 354 nt
Filed under: Photobacterium phosphoreum
Lineage: Bacteria; Pseudomonadati; Pseudomonadota; Gammaproteobacteria; Vibrionales; Vibrionaceae
Description: bacterial LSU rRNA
Rfam family: Bacterial large subunit ribosomal RNA
Source: RNAcentral
GUUGUAUGGUUAAGUGACUAAGCGUACACGGUGGAUGCCUUGGCAGUCAGAGGCGAUGAAGGACGUAUUAACUUGCGAUAAGCCCAGAUUAGGCAGUAAAAGCCACUUGAGUCUGGGAUUUCCGAAUGGGGAAACCCACUUGCAUAAGCAAGUAUCAUUAACUGAAUACAUAGGUUAAUGAAGCGAACCGGGGGAACUGAAACAUCUAAGUACCCCGAGGAAGAGAAAUCAACCGAGAUUCCGGUAGUAGCGGCGAGCGAAACCGGAUUAGCCCUUAAGCUAGUUCUGCGUUAGGUGAAGGUUCUGGAAAGUACCGCGAUACAGGGUGAUAGCCCCGUAACCAAAAAUGCAUUA